RNAcentral lists this ribosomal RNA (290 nucleotides) under uncultured bacterium. RNAcentral describes it as "partial 16S ribosomal RNA". It matches the Rfam family "Bacterial small subunit ribosomal RNA", at positions 28 to 329 of the family's 1533-position model. The record is from RNAcentral.
GAUAAACGCUGGCGGCGUGCCUAACACAUGCAAGUCGAACGCCCUUUUGCGCAAGUGAGAGGGAGUGGCGGACGGGUGAGUACCACGUGGGUACCUACCUUGAGGUGAGGAAUACCACCGAGAAAUCGGUGACAAGACCGCAUACGCUCGGGCAACCGAGCAAAGUCAUGCAAAUGACGCCACAAGAUGAGCCUGCGCCUGAUUAGCUGGUUGGUGAGGUAACAGCUCACCAAGGCGACGAUCAGUAGCUGGUCUGAGAGGAUGAUCAGCCACACUGGGAUUGAGAACGG